RNAcentral lists this ribosomal RNA (486 nucleotides) under uncultured bacterium. Its description in RNAcentral is "partial 16S ribosomal RNA". It matches the Rfam family "Bacterial small subunit ribosomal RNA", at positions 30 to 507 of the family's 1533-position model. The record is from RNAcentral.
AUUGAACGCUGGCGGCAUGCCUUACACAUGCAAGUCGAACGGCAGCACGGGUGCUUGCACCUGGUGGCGAGUGGCGAACGGGUGAGUAAUACAUCGGAACAUGUCCUGUAGUGGGGGAUAGCCCGGCGAAAGCCGGAUUAAUACCGCAUACGAUCUACAGAUGAAAGCGGGGGACCUUCGGGCCUCGCGCUAUAGGGUUGGCCGAUGGCUGAUUAGCUAGUUGGUGGGGUAAAGGCCUACCAAGGCGACGAUCAGUAGCUGGUCUGAGAGGACGACCAGCCACACUGGGACUGAGACACGGCCCAGACUCCUACGGGAGGCAGCAGUGGGGAAUUUUGGACAAUGGGCGAAAGCCUGAUCCAGCAAUGCCGCGUGUGUGAAGAAGGCCUUCGGGUUGUAAAGCACUUUUGUCCGGAAAGAAAUCCUUGGCCCUAAUACGGUCGGGGGAUGACGGUACCGGAAGAAUAAGCACCGGCUAACUACGUG